CCCUUAGAUGUCCGGGGCCGCACGCGCGCUACACUGAAGGAAUCAGCGUGGCUUUCUCCCUGACCCGAAAGGGUUGGGAAACCCGUUGAAUCUCCUUCGUGAUAGGGAUUGGGGCUUGAAAUUGUUCCCCAUGAACGAGGAAUUCCCAGUAAGCGCGAGUCAUAAGCUCGCGUUGAUUACGUCUCUGCCCUUUGUACACACCGCCCGUCGCUACUACCGAUUGAACGGUUUAGUGAGGGCCUCGGAUUGGUCUCGGCCCGCUCUUUACCGGGCGGCGCCGUUGGUCGAGAAGACGCUCGAACUUGAUCGUUUAGAGGAAGUAAAAGUCGUAACA
Molecule: ribosomal RNA, 334 nt
Filed under: uncultured eukaryote
Lineage: Eukaryota
Description: partial 18S ribosomal RNA
Rfam family: Eukaryotic small subunit ribosomal RNA
Source: RNAcentral